Molecule: non-coding RNA, 240 nt
Organism: Pelobates cultripes (western spadefoot toad)
Lineage: Eukaryota; Metazoa; Chordata; Amphibia; Anura; Pelobatidae
Source: the annotation of a GenBank genome assembly
CACCAUCUAGCUCCCUGGCUUUCUCUUGCCCCUCCUAAAUAUAGCAAAAUCUUACCUUUAUUUCAGUCUGCUGCUGCUGGCUCUGCCCUUGAUCUGACUGCAUGGCUGACAUCAUCAGAUGUGAGGAUCUGAGCCAAUCACAAUGCCUUCACAUAUGCAGGGCAGGCCCGCCCAUUGGUCCCGGUGGCUCCAGGUGGCUCUUUCACAGGGGUGGCAUUUUGCCGCCACUGUACGUUUAAG